CCUACGGGGGGCUGCAGUGGGGAAUAUUGGACAAUGGGGGGAACCCUGAUCCAGCCAUGCCGCGUGUGUGAAGAAGGCCCUCGGGUUGUAAAGCACUUUCAGUGAGGAAGAACGCCUGGUGGUUAAUACCCAUCAGGAAAGACAUCACUCACAGAAGAAGCCCCGGCUAACUCCGUGCCAGCAGCCGCGGUAAUACGGAGGGUGCGAGCGUUAAUCGGAAUUACUGGGCGUAAAGCGCGCGUAGGUGGCUUGAUAAGCCGGUUGUGAAAGCCCCGGGCUCAACCUGGGAACGGCAUCCGGAACUGUCAAGCUAGAGUGCAGGAGAGGAAGGUAGAAUUCCCGGUGUAGCGGUGAAAUGCGUAGAGAUCGGGAGGAAUACCAGUGGCGAAGGCGGCCUUCUGGACUGACACUGACACUGAGGUGCGAAAGCGUGGGUAGCAAACAGGAUUAGAUACCCGGGUAGUC
This 465-nucleotide ribosomal RNA is filed under the name Vreelandella stevensii. Its description in RNAcentral is "partial 16S ribosomal RNA". It matches the Rfam family "Bacterial small subunit ribosomal RNA", at positions 338 to 795 of the family's 1533-position model. Lineage: Bacteria; Pseudomonadati; Pseudomonadota; Gammaproteobacteria; Oceanospirillales; Halomonadaceae. The record is from RNAcentral.